GAGGAAAGCGGGGGGCGUGCCUAAUACAUGCAAGUCGAGCGAACGGACGAGAAGCUUGCUUCUCUGAUGUUAGCGGCGGACGGGUGAGUAACACGUGGAUAACCUACCUAUAAGACUGAGAUAACUUCGGGAAACCGGAGCUAAUACCGGAUAAUAUUUUGAACCGCAUGGUUCAAAAGUGAAAGACGGUCUUGCUGUCACUUAUAGAUGGAUCCGCGCUGCAUUAGCUAGUUGGUAAGGUAACGGCUUACCAAGGCAACGAUGCAUAGCCGACCUGAGAGGGUGAUCGGCCACACUGGAACUGAGACACGGUCCAGACUCCUACGGGAGGCAGAAGUAGGGAAUCUUCCGCAAUGGGCGAAAGCCUGACGGAGCAACGCCGCGUGAGUGAUGAAGGUCUUCGGAUCGUAAAACUCUGUUAUUAGGGAAGAACAUAUGUGUAAGUAACUGUGCACAUCUUGACGGUACCUAAUCAGAAAGCCACGGCUAACUACGUG
RNAcentral lists this ribosomal RNA (497 nucleotides) under uncultured bacterium. RNAcentral's name for it is "partial 16S ribosomal RNA". It matches the Rfam family "Bacterial small subunit ribosomal RNA", at positions 28 to 507 of the family's 1533-position model. The record is from RNAcentral.